Homo sapiens (human) is the source of this 290-nucleotide long non-coding RNA. RefSeq lists it as uncharacterized. The record is from RefSeq and is a predicted model, not a curated record. The transcript has 3 exons. NCBI's taxonomy places the organism in Eukaryota, Metazoa, Chordata, Mammalia, Primates, Hominidae.
UCCCUUCCAGCUCUACUACUCUCGCCAGUUGGAGUAAUCUGAACCUACUUAGGCCCCCAGGACCUUUCACCAGCCAAGUACAACCUCCUUGUCCCACUCACCAGAGUGCCACAUGCCUGAGCACAGAGAACCCUCAGGACUGCGGGAAUGAGACGCCUCGUGCAAAAGAAGAGCGAGACCCACCAGGAUGCAGAGAGGGUUCUUCAACCCCUGGCCCGGCCAGGAUGCCUGUUUCCCCUGUGGCUCAGAGGCCACCCAGCCAGAGAAGGGCAAGGACACGUGUGUCUGCC